Zea mays is the source of this 12287-nucleotide long non-coding RNA. RefSeq lists it as uncharacterized. The transcript is spliced from 2 exons. The record is from RefSeq and is a predicted model, not a curated record. Lineage: Eukaryota; Viridiplantae; Streptophyta; Magnoliopsida; Poales; Poaceae.
UGCGUCUUGAGGUAGUAAUUUAUAAGGGCGUGGAGGGAGUUUGUUGAAUUCUGUUACCGUCGGAGUCGGACUCUAUCUCUAUCUCCAAAAGUCCGUUCUAAUCUAAUCUCUUCGUGCGUCGUCCUAAUCAGCGCGAGCCGCAGCCCCCGCUGACGCGAAUCGCGACCUCCGCGCGACCCUCCGCCACCGCACCCUCCGCUGACCCGGUCUCCCUGCCGCCUGGAGCGAUGAAACCGCACCCUCCGCCACCGCACCCUCGCGCCCAAGCCCAGACUCAAAACUCAGCCAAACCCCUCGCAUCUUCCCUCCCACCGAUGCGCUCGCGCCGCCGCUCCCCAUCCCCCCUCGACGCACCUCCCCAUCGGCCGCCCCACCCCCGCCCGCCGCGUCGGCAUCCUCCUCGUUCGCGGUUGGCUCGAGCGGCACCGAUGGAGCGACGGCUCCGUUUCCCAGAAGGCGAAAGGCCGAUGAGACCGACGGACGAUUCGUGCCGAUCGCACACCGGCAGGCGGUGGCGAGCCGGGCGGACGGGGCGGCGGCGGGCUCGCCGUACGCGGUGCAUAGGGGACAUGAGGGUGCUGCUGUCUAGGUCGUGUAGGUCGGUCGCCGGUCCCGCCCGCCGUCUCCACGGCCAAGACCGUGGUGGCGUCCUCCUCCAACGUUCGUCCGUGUUUGUCUCCAUGGCGCUCUCGAAUGCCUAAGCCAAGGCCGACCGCCUCGAGCUGGUGCUCGACGAAACGCCCCGCAGGACCGAGUUCUGGUAGACCAUGCUCGUCGAUUCGCUGGCGAGGGCCGGCCGACAGCACGACGCAUUCUGCCUCUCUGCGGAGAUGCGGGCCUCCAGCGUGGCCUGCGACUCCCACGUCUGCGUAUGUCACUACGGGAAGAGCUACAUAUUCAUCGUAAAUUAUGUGCAAAGGAUGUACAAGCAAGCUGCCCUUGUGCAGACAGACUCAGAGGUGUAGAGAAGACAUGGUGUCCGCUGAGGAUUGCAAGAUCCAUUGCUGCAUAGGCUGAUGUAUGCGGCACACCAUCAGGAGCAGACUGAUCCCGCACACAUAAGGUCAGGUACCCUCUAGAUUAGCAGAAAAAACUUAAACUUUUGGUCUUCUUCCUUUGAUUACGAACAAAUAUAAUAUAUUUUUUUCUGUAAAAUUUUAUAUAUUAUUGAACUUAUUAAAAUUUGUUCUAUAUCAUGUGGUCUCAGUGCACGCUUUGCGGAUUUUAUCCUGGGAAUUCUGAAUUUGGCUUGCCCUUUGCGGAUUUUCAAGUGGUGUGUGCUAUUUGUGGAUAGGUUUGGUGCUGCGAACAGAGUGUUAGAACCAAAUUCUUGUCAGGCUAAACCGAUUUAUAUCAUAGAUGCAGGUGAUUUUUUUUCUUAUGAUUAUGAUCUUAAAUGGGAUUUAGUUGGACCGUGCUAUUCUGCUAUAACUGUAAAGUUAGGGUGCCGAAUAGUUGAUGCACCUGCUUCAUCAUCUAGAAAAAAGAAAUAAAGGAGAUUUUUGACGAGUUUCAUUUUUUUAUGGAACCUUCGUUGGUGGCUCGAGCAACAUAUAAAGGCGAUCAUCACUUCCGAUGAGUUGAGUUUUAUUGCUUACUAUUUCCUUCCUUCCGAUUCUUAGCUGCUAGGAGCUUUCAAGUUGUUCCCUCCCAUAAUCUAGAGUAAUUACAGAUCUGUACACGUUAUAUAAGCAAUUUCCCUUAUGCAAACCUGGAUGAUUAGUUAUGUAUAUAGAAUUUUGAAGAGAAAAUAUAUUUUUUCGAAUACAGACUUUGUUCUGCCCUCGAAUCCUCCAUUUUAAAUAGCAGCUUGAUGUACUAGUUCUCACGUCAUGCUGCUAUAAAAUAAUUGGAAGGCCAUAGUUUAUUUGAUUGCCAUAGCCCAAAGUUUCACUUCCAUUGCCAUGGUUGAGUGAUGAAUUUCCAUGAUGCUCCUAUGGCGUAAAACAAACUAAAAAAGGUCGUCAUUAAUCAUUGUUGGAGUUGUGGUAAAACAUAUAUCAAAUCAUUUGGUUCAUGUGAACUGAUCUAGAAACCACGUUCUGUAUCAGCAACUCAGCGCACAAGGCUGACUAGAGAGCAACUGUAAGCUUACCACAAACACUAAAAGCCUUCUUCCAACUGGUAUGACAGUUCCACUUGGCUUCUCCCUAUGUGUGUUUCAAAUCAAAAUGUGCAAGAGACACAUACCCAAUUGAAGACCCAUCCAUGGUGCCUGAAACAUUAAUAAACCUUAUGUAGUUCCAAACCUCACGGCAUAAUAUAGCAAGCUGAUUGCGGUUAACUUACCACUGAGAGGGCAUUUUUUGUAACGGUCGAUGGUGCCCGGCACGAUUUCACCAAUUAAGGACCCACUUUCAUCAUUUGUUUGUGGAGUCCUCAACGAUUGAUGAUUACUACCUAGCCAUGUACCAGCAGUUGACACUGGACUCGUUAAAAAAGAUCUUGUGACCUGUACAAUCAACUACAAACUUAUAAUUUCGUAAACCUGUAUUUGACUAUUUGUUAGCAUACUGCACAGCAGUGAAAGCAGAGACAUUCAGUAGUUAGAUAGGUAGAAACUUAAGAGCAUACUUCUUGACUUAUGAGGUCCACACACAAAAACGAAAAAUCGUCUAACAUUUGUUCAAACAGAUGAAGCGCAUGUCAUUAGAGUUGGUUGCCCGUACUAUAUCUGUGGACAUGUGAGCAGAUGUUAACUUGGUUUUUAUUGUCCACCUUCCCAUCAUUGGACAUGUGAGCACGGCUAUCAUGGAGUUCUUCAACCAAUGGCCCACAAUAGUGCUUGCCCUUUUGAACUCACCCGCGUUCAAAAACAUCACAUGCUCACAAAAUCAGUAAGGAAAGCAAUAAAAGACAUAACUUGUUUCUAAAACGGUGGCUUUUGUUUCUUCAGUUCACCAUCAUAUUCAACUUUGUCAUUGUAUGUUGCUAAAAAAACUCGGUCGGGGAGGGAAAGACCGUCCUCCCGGUAUUAUAUUAAGAAAAGACCGAAACAAUGGUCUCGGUCGAGAAAAACUUCGAACCCUGGCCCUAUCACUAAUGGGCCUCGUCAACGGUCCACUCUGCAACGGCUCAACCGGAGAUAAGAAUAAAAAGGGGCCCAAAGGAGCACCCAUAUACAAACCUCUUGUUACGGCGGCCAAAAACAAGCAUACACAAAACUAUCCAUAAAAACACCGAGAAAACUACUGCAGCCCUCCAGCACUAGUACUGGGAGCAGCCAAAAAGGAGAGACCCUUUGCUCCAGCAGCUUGCCAUUUCUCCCUCUUCUCAUUGACAAAAUCCAAGAGCAUGGUGAGGCUUGGUGACACACCAUCAAAUACCACUCCGUUCCUAUGCUUCCAAAUCAACCAUGCCCCAAGAAUGACCAGAGAGUCCAAUCCUUGUCAAGCCAGACACAAUGGCUGAAAUUCUUUUCCACCACAAUAGGAAGUGAGUGUCAUCAUGAAGAGGAGCCAAACUUUCUUAGAAUGUUAUACCAGCACACCCUUCAGAAAACACAAGAUACCAGCAAAUGGUUGGUCUCUGGCUCUUAAUCACAAAUGGGGCAUCUAGGAGGGUGAUUCAAGCCUCUUUUUUCCAGCCUGUCAGCAGUCCAGCAUCUAUUAUGAGCCACCAACAACAAAAAAGAACUUGCAUUUGGGGGUGCCCAAGACUUCUAGAUCCUUUGAUAAUGUUCAAAGGAAACAGAUCCAAAAAGAGGCCAUUGUAUACGAACUAGCAGAAUAUUGGAUAUCGGGGGCAACUGAAAAAAUAUGUUUAUCCUUAGUAUUAGGUUGCAACACCAUACCAGAUAAAGAGUUCCAAAGGUGAAGAUAGUCAGUCAAAGCUCCCACAGUUAAUGCCCCUCUAAUAUCAGCAAUCCAACCUCUGUUUAACAAGGCUUCUUCAUUUGGCUAGCCUCUAUUAAUCAUUGUUGGACGACUGAUCGUCUAGCCCGUAGAGGUUUGGGCCACCCCCAGUGUUGCUUACUUUGUGAUAAGCAGGAAGAGACGGUGCAACACUUGUUGGUGUCUUGUGUUUUUGCAAGGGAGGUCUGGUUCAGAAGUUUGGGCAGAAUGAGGUUGCAGCACUCGGCGCCCAUUCCUGAUUCUGCUGUGUUCCAGGAUUGGUGGAGAGAAUCUGAGGAAUUGGUGCCUAAGCCACAAAAGUAAGGAUUCAAUUCCUUGGUGAUUUUAGUGGCUUGGCAAAUUUGGAAACAUAGGAACACUUGUGUUUUUGAAGCUGCUUCUCCGUAUAUCAGCAAGAUUUUGCAUGAUAUUCAUGAUGAAGCUGUUUUGUGGGGUAUGGCUGGGGGUAGGGGCCUAUGAGGCCAGUAACCAUCCCUCUCCUUCCUGAGGUCUAGUGUGUUUGGAUUGGUUGUGUGUGUCUGAUGGAUUGUUUCAGUUUUCUGUGUUUUUGCCCUCCGUAAGGAAACCCAUGUAUUUGCCUAUUUGGUCUUCUUAGACCUUUUCCUUUCCUGUUAAUAUAAUGAGGCACAGUUAUCCUGCGUUUUCGAGAAAAACAAGGUUUCCUGUACAGUUGUUCUGGAAGCAAUUCUUUUUGGGAUAAUACUGAACAACCUUGGGGCAAUAUCUGAGACUCUCUUUCCAUUAAUCCAUUUGUCAGUCCAAAAAAGGGUAUUACAGCCAUUCCCAACCUCAGUGAUAAGAAUAACAGAAAAGAAUGAUCUGGCCUUACUAGGAACUUGUAUAGGGAGAUCAAUCCAUGGUUUGGUAGGGUUAGUUUUUUCCAACCAAAGCCAUCUCAUUAUAAGUGCCCAACAAAGCUCAGGGAAACUAGAGAUACCCACACCUCCCAUUGCCUGAGGUCUGCACACUUCCCCCAAGCAACCAGACAAUGGCCACCCUUCGCUUCCCUCCUUCCUCUUCAUAAGAAACCCUUCCCGAUCUUAUCAAAUUCAUUAAUGCCCCAUUUGGGGAAGUCAAUAGCCAUUGCAGUAUAGACAGACAUCCCAGUAAGAACAUGCUGCACCAAAACUCUUCUGCCUGCCCUGUUAAGCAAAUCAGCCUUCCAGUUGGGUAACCUAUCAGCAAUUUUGUCCACCAAGGGCCAGGAUUGAUGCUUAGAAAGUUUUUGUAAGGAUAAUGGAAGGCCCAAAUAUUUGCAAGGGAAGGAAGCAAUCUCACAAGGUAAGAUGUUUUGAACAGCCAGGAUAGUUUCCUCAGAACAUCUUAUGGGAUAAAUAUUAGACUUUUGAGCAUUGUUAUGGAGUCCAGAAGCAUCCCCAAAAAGUUUUAGGAUGUCAAGGGUGGUAGAGAUAUCAGCCUGGGUGGGAUGCAAAAACAGGGCCACAUCAUCAACAUAGAUUGAUAUUCUGUGUAAUUUUUUCCUGCUGCAUAAAUGUUGUAACAAACCUUCCUCAGCUUUGAAAAAUAGAAAACUCAGAACAUCCAUAGAAAGAAUAAACAGCAUUGGAGACAAAUGGUCUCCCUGUCUGAGGCCUCUUCUAUGUUGGAUAAUUGUGCCUGGACCGCCAUUCAAAAGCACUUGAGUGGUAGAUGAUCCAAGAAGCUCACAUAUGAUGUCUCUCCAUAUCAGACCAAAACCCAUCUGUUUCAUUACUUCAAUCAAGAAAGGACAAGAAACAGAAUCAAAUGCUUUUAUUAUAUCUAACUUGAAGAGCAAUCUGGCCUUAUUCUGUGAAUGCAGUAAUCUGGAUUUCUGUUGGACCAACAUGAAAUUGUCUUGAAUAAAUCUUCCUUUGAUGACAGCACUUUGGUUUGGGGAGACUAUCUCAUUCAGUUUUUUUGCCAGUCGGUUGGCAAGCACCUUGGUGACUAAUUUGGCAAAACUAUGUACCAAACUAAUGGGUCUGAAAUCCUUGACCUGAUCAGCCCCCUCCACUUUAGGGAUCAUAGUAAUAUAUGCUGAAUUGAGUCUGCUCAUAUUUGUGAAAUUUCUGUGCCAAACAGCUCCCACUGCCUUUAGCACAUCUUUUUUGAUAAUAUUCCAGCAUACUUUAUAGAACCUUCCAGUGAAACCAUCAGGCCCAGGGGCCUUGUUAGAAGGCAAAUUUCUAAUAGUGUCCCAAGUUUCCUGUUCUGAAAAUGGGAGAUCCAAUUCAGAGAGAUUAUGCACAGGUAACCCAAGAGCCUCAAGGUUUAUAGUUCUUUCCCUCCCUGCAGCCAGCCCUAUAAGGUUGUAUAGAAGUGAUCUACAAGAGCUUCUUUCUCAGUAUGGCUAGUUAAAGUAUUCUCCCCAUCUCUGAGUUUGGUCACCAAGUUCUUUCUCUUUCUAUGUCUGGCAUGCAUGUGAAAAAACUUGGUGUUUGCAUCCCCAUCCUUCAACCAACUGAUUCUUGAUCUUAAUCUUGCCAUAGUCCUUUUGAAUGAGGUCAACAACAAGGAUUGCUUUUUAAGCUUAUUUUUAAGCCACAAUUCAGCAGGAGUAAGGAAGAUCCUGGGCAAUCUCAAACCUGUGCAAAAGCUCCUUUGCCAAAGCCAACUAGGAAGUCACAUGGCCAACCUGCCUAUCACUCCAACUCUGUAGUCUCCUCUCCUAGAAUUUUCUUUAAGCUUCCUUUGCAAGGUCAGAUAAGGACAAGGAGAAGGUCCAACAGAAGUCCAAGCAGCCUGUACAGUAUCAAGGAAUCCCUCCAUGUUUGGCCAAAAUGCUUGAAAGUGAAAUCCUUUCUUUCCAUGGAAAUUAUCCUUUAGACCGAGAAGCAGGGGUCAAUGAUCAGAAUCUUGGGAGGCAGAGCUUUGAAGCAGAACAUUAGGGAAAUAUGAUGUCAAUGAGCAGAAAACCCUAUCAAGCUUAACCAACACAGGGUUGUCCUGCUAAUUAGACCAGGUGUAUUUUCUACCAUGUAGUUGUAUUGUAUCUCUCUUAGAGCAAGAUCAUUGAUCACAGACCUGAAUCUACCCAUCAUAGCCCUAUUUAGGUUUGAAUUAUUUUUGUCAGAGUCCCAUGCAAUGACCCAUGUCCCAUCACAAGCAGCCCUGAUGUCCUAAAUUUCUUGAAGGAAAAGAAUUUUCUCAGCAUCAGUCUGAGGCCCAUACACACAAGUUAACCACCAGGGAAUUCCAUCAUCUUUGCAAAACUGGACAGAAACACAAUGGGCAUCCAUCCUUUGUACUCCUGUAUGUCCUACAUUUCUUUUCGAAGCAACUAGAAUUCCUCCGCUAGCACCAACAGAAGGUAGAAAAACAAAUUCAGUAAACUCAACUCCCGAUGUCACCCUGAGUAAUAAGUUACAUUUUUGUUUCCUGACAGCACACUAUAUCCACCUGAAAGGAAUCCACCAGGUCUCUAACAGUAUCCAUCCGAACAGAAGAAUUAAGACCCCUAACAUUCCAAACAAGAAUUUUAGAAGGAUCCAUAGAAAACAAAAUAGAUCAACCAAGGGGGUGGGACCAGAACACUAAUACUUCAAAUUAUCAGGAAGUGCCCAGCCAAAUAGGGCAGAAGGGGCUUCCACCUGAUCCUAAUUCAGAAAGUGAUUGAACAGCCUAGCAUAUUCUUUUAGAGCUUCCCAAUGGGGAUGGCAACGGGAAAUUCCCCGUCGGGGAAUAGCUCCCCAUCCCCGUCCCCGCGGCAUCCACACGAAUGCUUGUGGGGAACAUUUCUUCUCCAUCCCCAUUUCCCACGGGGAUAAAUCCCCAACGGGGAUCCCCAUCCCCGUUUAAAUUAUAAUUAAGACUUACGUUCUUUGUUAUUGAUGUUAAACAUUGUCACUUAUACACAUUGUCAGAUGUAAGAAAUCAUUAUGCAUACAUCAAAAUGAACAUGUUUGUACAAUUAGUGGCCUCUUAACAAGGUAAUUAUUUAUUUUUGUCGUUAACUAGUACACGAAAAAAACGUCACAUGCAAGUUUAACGGGCCCCGCGGGGAACGGGGAAUGGGAAUGCUUCCCCGUCCCCAUCCCCGUUUACCCGUCGGGGGAUAAAUUUUCCCCGUUUAUAUCCCCGCGGGGGAAGUUUCUUCCCCAUCCCCUAAUGGAGGACUUCUACGCGGGGAAUCGGAGAUCGGGUCCCCAUUGCCAUCUCUACUUCCCAACACAGAUUCUCUAUAUAUGUUUGAUGAUGUGGUUAUAUUUAUCCAACCAACAGUUAGAGAUAUUAGUACUGUACUGGACAUUCUUCAUAUUUUUGGGGAGGCUUCCGAGUUGCGAACCAAUAUCCAGAAAAGCAAUGUAUACCCAAUUAGAUGCGGGGAACAAGACUUGACCUUGCUGCAAAACUCGUCGCCUUGUGAGAUCUCGCAAUUUCCCUGCAAAUACUUGGGUCUACCUCUUGCCAUAAAGGAACUUACCAAGGACCAAGUACAACCGAUUAUUGAUAAAAUUGCUAACCAACUGACAGGGUGGAAAGCUGAUUUGAUGACUAAGGCUAGAUUAAAGGUACAUGUGCAGUUUGUCCUCACAUGGAUGGUCAUAUAUCUCGCAAUGGCUGUGGAUUUACCACCUUGGGCUAUCAAAGUAUUGACAAGAUCCGACGAGGCUUUCUUUGCCGAGGGCGCAAAGAAGCGAGGGAAGGACACUGUCUUGUUGCUUGGGGAAAAGUUUGUCGGCCGCUUGAGCUUGGUGGGCUGGGGAUUUCCAAUCUCAAUGAUCUUGCUUGGGCACUUCGUAUGCGUUGGCUCUGGUUAGCAAAAACUGAUCCAAGACGGCCAUGGGCAUCUCUUGCUAUACAAGUUCCCAGCAAUGCUAAAGAUUUCUUCUCAGUGGCUAUGCAAACUGAAAUUCGUAAUGGGGCCUCUACUCUGUUUUGGUCUUAUCGUUGGUUGAUGGGACACAGGGUCGUGGACAUUGCCCCAUCAUUAUUCCAGAAUAUUCCUAAAAGAAGGGUUAAUAAGAAGAUUGUCUUGGAUUAUCUCUCUAAUCAUACAUGGAUUUCGGACAUACAAGGAGCUCUUACUGUAUAUCUUGCUCUAUGGGAUAAUCACCUUGGUUCAACUUAGACCUGAAGUGGAUGACACUCACUUUUUUCGUCUCGUCACCAAUGGGAAGUAUUCAGCAAAGGCAGCCUAUGGGGUUUUUUCCUUGGGUCGACGACUUUUGAACCGUACUACAGAAUUUGGAAAACCUGGGUUCCUCCAAAGACCAAGUUCUUCAUGUGGCUGGUAGCUCAACGAAGGCUUUGGAUAGUUGACAUGAUGCAAAAGAGGCAUGGAUCACCCUGUGAUCAGGAGCAGGAAACACUUGACCAUCUACUGAUUGGGUGCGUGUUCGCCCGGGAUUUCUGGUUUAAACUUAUAUCUCAAGUUAAUCUCCAAAGCAUGGCCUCUCAGCAUGUUGAUGCAUCUUUUAUGGGCUGGUGGAGAUGGCUGGGCAAUCAGGUCCAUGGAGUGGCUGGGUAAACUCUGGUAAUUUUAGGAGCAUGGACACUGUAGAAACAACGGAAUAACUUUGUCUUCGACAGAACUAGACCUAAUGUGGAUCUUGCUGUUAGGAUGGCUGAUCAAGAGCGAGAGAAGUGGAAGCUGGCUGGAGCAAGAAAGCUAUCCUUGCUAACUAGUCACAUCCCGGGUCAGUAGGCUGUGUUAGAGUUAGUAGUUUUGUGUGUUUUAUACAUGGAUGAGUAUUAGUGUGCCUGUACUUGGCCCCCGUAAGGUGGCUGUUUUGUAUUAUCUUUGUAUUUCUUCUUAAUGGAAUGGUAUGCAGCCCUCCUGCGUUUUUCGAGAAAAAAACUUCUUGAGCUAAAACACUAUGUGAUGCUGUUUGGGGGGCAUUUGCAGGAUGUUAUACUACCAUGAAUAUUGGAUGAUGCCACUCUAGCAAGUUUAAACACAAUGAUACACUCAAAUAAUGUUUAUGUUAGUGCUUCUGCGGUUCUGCCUCUCCCCAGUGUUGGUAUCCUUAAAUUGUUUCCCAUUUGUUACUUAUGAUAUAUAUGCAAGCAGGUACUAGGUGCAAGCGUGUAAUCAGACUUUUUAGCCUGUUAGAUCUGUAUCCAACGGUAAAUAUAAUUGUGGUUUGUUAGAGUUUUUUUAUAAAGCUAUACCAGGUGGUGGUGGAAGGGUUUUAAGGGCCUGUUUGGUUCACUACCUCAGUUGCCACACUUUGUCUAACUUUUCUGCCUAAGGUUAGUUAUUCAGGGCACGUUUGGUUUGUGGCUAACUGUGCCCCACUUUGCCUAAGGUUAGUCGUUCGAAUUGAAUAACUAACCUUAGGCAGAAAAGUUAGGCAAAGUGAGGCAAGUUAGGCAUCAAUCCAAACGGGCCCUCAAUUCGAACGACUAACCUUAGGCAAAGUGUGGCACAUUUAGCCACAAACCAAACAGGCCCUAAGUGCUAAAUAUGACAUACCGUUGGAUCUAGAUCUAACGGAUCCAAAUGUCUCCUUGCGUGCUUGCACCUAGUACAUGCUUGCAUAUUAGUCGUUCCCAUGAUAUAAUGAUCUGUUGCAGCUAUAAAUUGGAGCUGACAAUUAAAUCUUUUUCCAUCCUAUCUUCUGACAGGAAAAACAUUGCUUGCGAAAACGUUAGCACGUAUUGUAAAUGUACCAUUGGUUAUAGCUGAUGCGACAUCAUUAACGCAAGCAAGUUCAUUACUGACUUACUAACAUUGUUUUCUUUAGAAUGUCUUGGAAAGGAGUGCAGAUGUUACUAGACAUGUAUCUGGAGAAGGUGUUCAACAAGCAUUGUUGAAAAUCCUAGAAGGAACUGUAAGUUACUAAAGUUGCCUUUGGUUUUGUGCCUGUGGAAUUAGGAGUUUAGAAGCUAUCUUCGAUUCACUUUUUUUUAUAAGGAUCUUUGAUUGACUUUAAACCUCAGUAAUGAUUCUUUGUAUGUUGCCUACUUAUUCCUAACGCAUGUUGUUAAUAUUCAUGAGAAAGUAUCACACAAGAAUUCUCGCAAUGAUAGUAUACAGGUUACAUACCCUAUAUGGUCCUUAAUGAAUACGUGCACUAUAUAUCAUAUGGGUUAAAUUUGGAUUCAAUUGAAUGAAAAAGGAUCUUUAAAAUGUUCUUUUUUAUGUCAUAAGGACCCUGUACUACAUUACACAUAAUGAGCAGAGGAAGUGUUACCUCAAAAACAUUUAUUGACAACCAGAUAACAGCAAACACGCUGGUUGUGUUAAAAAUGUGCAGGGCAUAAGUAUUCUACUCCCUCCGUCUUAAAAUAUAAGAAAUCUAGAGUUCAAAAUUUGCACCAAAAUACAAGUAUUCUGGAGUUCCCUUUUUCUUUGUCUUUUAGCAUACAAUAUUGAGAUUCCUUUUAAAAUUAGCAUCACCCAAACAGCCACUCAGUUGUUUGCAGUCUUAUUUUCAAUCUUGGAUUCAUGCUUUUCUGUUUUUCUGCUGAAGAUAUUUAGUUACCAAUCUUCCUUUCUGUUUGGCUUUAAAUAUGUUUUUAUCUAUCCCAAAAAGUUGCUCAACCUAUGUGCUUUUGAAAUGCUACUACAUUUUCAGGGCAUAGAAUAAGGUGAUUGACCACUUCCAUUUAAAAAUUGCUUCCAACUUUUCCUAAAGAACAUUCCACGAAGUCAUAACUCACGCCCUAUUGGUGAUGGGCAAAAAUUAGCGCAUUAGCUACCAUUCAAGUGCUUAUAUAGGUUGUGAAUGUUUUAGUUUGUGUUAUUUGAUAAUAUAUCAAACUUGUUUUAUUUGAAUGUAAAUGAUUUGGACUGAUAUCUUGCUUCAAGAUCAUCUAUGUUUUGUUGUCUUGGAUAUUGUUACUUUAUCUUCAUAAUUUACCGCUAUCAUUUGUCCUUCUCAUAUUGAUGUUAGGUAGUUCCAGUUGACGAUGUGUGAAUCAGGCAAUCGUCGCCCUUGUGCAGCUUUGCUCCAUGGUGAAUUUAAAUUAUUUUAUUUUGCCAAACUGAUUCUGAGUUGUGGAAAAUACCAACAUACGAGAACUCAGUUUGGUCAAUUAUGGCAAUUUCAUUUAUAUCACUGCUUGUUAUGUCUGCUAUCCUAGGUGCUUGUUUCUUUGUGAGGAGACACCGGAUAGGAUGGGACAUUGCUCGCCCUCCCCAAGCUCGGUAGUUCCAUGGAAUGAACAACCAAUUAGUUAAAGCAAUGUCAAGUCUUAUUUUCACACAAAAGUGCAAGAUGUUGAUUGUACAUCAUCAACAUGUGCCAUUUGCUUGGAAGACUACAUCAGAAACGUCAUAUAUUUUGGAACAGAGGUAGUAGUCAAUAAUUAGCUUAUUCGUUUUUUAUAUGGUUGUAUAUAUCCUAGCAAGAGACCACUCUGUAGUCAUUUCCUUAGUUUCUUGAGAGCUGGGACCACACUUAUAGUGAAGAAAACUAUGUUCAACUAACAGAAUUAACUUGGAUGCACCUUUGCACAAUCAUAUCUGUACAAGUUUUGGCGGCAUAUGCUUAUUUCAAAUUA